RNAcentral lists this ribosomal RNA (104 nucleotides) under Providencia rettgeri. RNAcentral describes it as "partial 16S ribosomal RNA". It matches the Rfam family "Bacterial small subunit ribosomal RNA", at positions 1 to 98 of the family's 1533-position model. Lineage: Bacteria; Pseudomonadati; Pseudomonadota; Gammaproteobacteria; Enterobacterales; Morganellaceae. The record is from RNAcentral.
UUAAUUGAAGAGUUUGAUCAUGGCUCAGAUUGAACGCUGGCGGCAGGCCUAACACAUGCAAGUCGAGCGGUAACAGGGGAAGCUUGCUUCUCGCUGACGAGCGG